RNA transcript from Populus nigra (black poplar), 2166 nucleotides. RefSeq lists it as uncharacterized. The record is from RefSeq and is a predicted model, not a curated record. NCBI's taxonomy places the organism in Eukaryota, Viridiplantae, Streptophyta, Magnoliopsida, Malpighiales, Salicaceae. The transcript is spliced from 7 exons.
AAGUCAAUAAAACAAAAGAAUUGUUUUGUUUGAUCUACAAGUCUUUAUUAGCUGCAAUUCAUUUCGCGAAAAGAAAUCAAACAAACAAAUAUAUAAAGAAAAGAAAAGUCCCCAAUUCUUGGGUUUCAAGUUUUUUGAGUAGCUGUUUCACCAAAUCAAUUCAAAGAACCCUUCAAAACUGAAUAUCUUUUCGCUAUGACUUGAAAAACUAAACAAAAAAAUACGUUCUUGAUUUCAUUUCCCAGCUUUUUUUUUAGAGAGAGAGAGAGAGAGAGAGAGUAUAGCAUCAAAUCAAAUGGCAGCAUCAUCACUUGGCCAGACCGAGAUCAACUGGGACAAGCUCGAUAAGUCUAAGUUUUAUGUUGUGGGAGCGGGAAUAUUUACUGGGCUUACAGUUGGUUUAUACCCAGUGUCUGUUAUAAAAACUAGACUUCAGGUUGCUACGAGGGAUAGUGUUGAGAAAAGUGCAUCUUCUGUUAUUAGAGGCAUACUGAAAACAGAUGGGGUUCCUGGUCUCUACAGAGGGUUUGGUACUGUCAUCACUGGUGCAGUUCCUGCUAGGAUUAUUUUUCUUACUGCAUUGGAGACCACGAAAGUGACUGCUUUCAAGAUGGUUGAGCCAUUUAAUUUCUCUGAACCAACACAAGCAGCCUUAGCAAAUGGUAUUGCUGGCAUGGCAGCGUCUCUUUGUUCUCAAGCUGUCUUUGUUCCCAUUGAUUUGAUUAGCCAAAGGUUGAUGGUACAAGGAUAUUCUGGCCAUGAGAAGUAUAAUGGGGGUCUGGAUGUUGCACGCAAGAUUAUAAGGACUGAUGGCAUCAGAGGAUUUUACAGAGGGUUUGGUCUGUCAAUCAUGACUUAUUCACCAUCUAGUGCUGUAUGGUGGGCGAGUUAUGGCUCAAGCCAACGCAUCAUCUGGAGGCUUUUAGGCCAGGGUACUGAUCGUGAGGAAGCUGCUCCUAGCAAGUCAACUAUAAUACUAGUUCAGGCAACUGGAGGAAUUAUUGCGGGAGCUACAGCUUCCUGCAUCACAACCCCAUUAGAUACAAUUAAGACUCGUUUACAGGUGAUGGGACAUGAAAGAAGAAGCUCUGCAAGACAAAUUGUUACAAACUUGAUUAAGGAUGAUGGUUGGACAGGCUUCUACAGAGGGUUGGGUCCCAGAUUUGUCAGCAUGUCAGCAUGGGGAACCACAAUGAUAUUGGCCUAUGAAUAUUUGAAGCGGCUGUGUGUAAAGGAUGAAUAGAUGUGAACCUGCUGUUACUCAAUGUAGAGAUUUGGGUCUGAAGCUGGCUCCAUCAAGUUAUCUUUGGAACUGGUUGUUUUACACAUGCAGAAGAGUUUUUCUUGUAUUCAUAACCCUGAUACAGCAUUGUUGGUCUUUAGCAUUAUCAUACUAUUGAGGAGCCAACCUCAUGGCUAUUGAAUCUGGAUUAGUUACGAUAUUUUGAAGACUUUUUAAUCCAUCUGAGAUUCCAGGCACGGAUGUUUUGACUCUCCCCAGGAAUGCAAGGUUAGGAUAAAUGAGUCAAUCAGAUGCUCUGCAGGUGUAUCCUUGUAGCAAAAUAUUAUAUUUGCUAGAUGCAAUUAUAAUGUGAUUUUUCCAUUUUGAACUCACAGAAUUAUUUUUGCAUUAUCUGGAAGACCACAGAGAUAAGUGUUUUAGCUGAAACAGUUGUUGUUCAAAAUGGUAGUUAUUUGGGUUCGGGUGAUUUAAGCGCUCGCUACUGCAAUAUCAUCAGUGAGAGAAACCAGCAAGGGAAAAUGGUGCUCAAUAUCAUCAGUAUGCGUUAGGCCUCAGACUUGCUUAGUGCAAAAGCUUGCCAAAGAUGCUGCAGUUCACUGAAGGUAUUGUUUACAGCAGUUGCCUCAGACUUGCUUAGUGCGAAAGCUUGUCAAAGAUGCUGCAGUUCACUGCAGGUAUUGUUUACAGCAGUUAACAUGCCGUGCAUCUGCUUGCAGAAAUCAAUUGUUGCCAGCUUCCACCUUGGAGAAUUAGGAGGCAAUGUUGGAUUGUGUUGCAACAAAGUGCUCAAUUUCUGAUGAAUGAAGGUGUAAUUUUUGCACUUUAAUGUUAGAAGGAAAUGCUUAACAUCCAUAUUGAUUUAAUCAUCUUAUUUCUAGAGAGCAAUGAAGAUAAAUGGAUAAUAAGAAUUGAGAUUUAAUGAA